GUGCUCAGUGAUAGAGCAUCUGCUUUGCAAGCAGAAGGUCCAAGGUUCAAUUCCUGGCAUCUCCA
Podarcis lilfordi (Lilford's wall lizard) is the source of this 65-nucleotide non-coding RNA. The record is from the annotation of a GenBank genome assembly. NCBI's taxonomy places the organism in Eukaryota, Metazoa, Chordata, Lepidosauria, Squamata, Lacertidae.